AGAGUUUGAUCCUGGCUCAGAAUCAACGCUGGCGGCGCGCUUAACACAUGCAAGUCGCACGGGAAAGUGGAGCAAUCCAUGAGUAUAGUGGCGUACGGGUGAGUAACACGUGGAUCAUCUACCUUCUAGUGGGGAAUACCCCUGGGAAACUGGGGACAAUACCGCAUAAGCUCGAAAGAGGAAAGCAGCAAUGCGCUGGAAGAGGAGUCCGCGGCUGAUUAGCUAGUUGGCGGGGUAACGGCCCACCAAGGCGAAGAUCGGUAGCCGGCCUGAGAGGGCACACGGCCACACUGGCACUGAAACACGGGCCAGACUCCUACGGGAGGCAGCAGUGGGGAAUCUUGCACAAUGGAGGAAACUCUGAUGCAGCGACGCCGCGUGAGCGAUGAAGCCCCUCGGGGUGUAGAGCUCUUUCGACGGGAUGAUUAUGACGGUACCCGGA
RNAcentral lists this ribosomal RNA (442 nucleotides) under uncultured bacterium. RNAcentral's name for it is "bacterial SSU rRNA". It matches the Rfam family "Bacterial small subunit ribosomal RNA", at positions 8 to 483 of the family's 1533-position model. The record is from RNAcentral.